GUAGUUUGAUCGUGGCUCAGAUUGAACGCUGGCGGCAUGCCUUACACAUGCAAGUCGAACGGCAGCAUGAUCUAGCUUGCUAGAUUGAUGGCGAGUGGCGAACGGGUGAGUAAUACAUCGGGAACGUGCCCUGUAGUGGGGAUAACUAGUCGAAAGAUUAGCUAAUACCGCAUACGACCUGAGGGUGAAAGUGGGGGACCGCAAGGCCUCAUGCUAUAGGAGCGGCCGAUGUCUGAUUAGCUAGUUGGUGGGGUAAAGGCCCGACCAAGGCGACGAUCCAGUAGCUGGUCUGAGAGGACGAUCAGCCACACUGGGACUGAGACACGGCCCAGACUCCUACGGGAGGCAGCAGUGGGGAA
Molecule: ribosomal RNA, 359 nt
Filed under: uncultured microorganism
Description: bacterial SSU rRNA
Rfam family: Bacterial small subunit ribosomal RNA
Source: RNAcentral